GACGAACGCUGGCGGCGUGCUUAACACAUGCAAGUCGAACGGAAAGGCCCUGCUUUUGUGGGCUGCUCGAGUGGCGAACGGGUGAGUAACACGUGAGUAACCUGCCCUUGACUUUGGGAUAACUUCAGGAAACUGGGGCUAAUACCGUAUAGGAGCUCCUGCUGCAUGGUGGGGGUUGGAAAGUUUCGGCGGUUGGGGAUGGACUCGCGGCUUAUCAGCUUGUUGGUGGGGUAGUGGCUUACCAAGGCUUUGACGGGUAGCCGGCCUGAGAGGGUGACCGGCCACAUUGGGACUGAGAGACGGCCCAGACUCCUACGGGAGGCAGAAGUGGGGAAUAUUGCACAGUGGGCGGAAGCCUGAUGCAGCAACGCCGCGUGCGGGAUGACGGCCUUCGGGUUGUAAACCGCUUUCGCCUGUGACGAAGCGUGAGUGACGGUAAUGGGUAAAGAAGCACCGGCUAACUACGUG
RNAcentral lists this ribosomal RNA (468 nucleotides) under uncultured bacterium. Its description in RNAcentral is "partial 16S ribosomal RNA". It matches the Rfam family "Bacterial small subunit ribosomal RNA", at positions 28 to 507 of the family's 1533-position model. The record is from RNAcentral.